GCUGCUUUUUGGGUGGACUCAAGCAGAAGAUGAAGUAAUGCAGAGCACUCUUUUGCGGAACAAGGGUGCUCUGGGCUAAAUCAGGUAUCCUGAAAUUUGCAUUCGAGAUUGAAGGGUCACCUAUUCACCUUUGGGAAUCCCAGAUGUAUGUUGAAGCAGGUGCCCAGCCUAUUGGACUAUAUCUGAUAUGACUGUAACCUGGAAAGAGAGGAUCCACUGAAGUUGUAAAUGAGGUAUCUACAUCUCUUCAAAAAAGUUUCCAGUGACUGAUGCGGGAAAUACGAUACUAUCUGCAAAAAAAUGACGAGGAAAAUUCUACACCCACCCCAGAAACUGUGGCUUAAUACAGGAGCAGCAAUAAGGUGAAAGAAACAUUCUUUUGAUCACAUAGGCCAGAAAACACGAGGUUUUGGCUUAGCAUGUUUACAGGACAGUGACAACCUCCAAUGUCUCCUGCAAAGCUCUAUAAGAAGAGUUAUCUAUUUUCACUCCAGACCU
RNAcentral lists this long non-coding RNA (498 nucleotides) under Numida meleagris (helmeted guineafowl). RNAcentral's name for it is "lncRNA (ENSNMEG00000004935.1)". Lineage: Eukaryota; Metazoa; Chordata; Aves; Galliformes; Numididae. The record is from RNAcentral.